RNAcentral lists this non-coding RNA (45 nucleotides) under Trichobilharzia regenti. The record is from RNAcentral. Lineage: Eukaryota; Metazoa; Platyhelminthes; Trematoda; Strigeidida; Schistosomatidae.
AUUCAGAUGAUGAGUCCCUAGUGGGACGAAAUGCGCAUCCUGGAU